Molecule: non-coding RNA, 2629 nt
Organism: Equus caballus (horse)
Lineage: Eukaryota; Metazoa; Chordata; Mammalia; Perissodactyla; Equidae
Source: RefSeq, a predicted model, not a curated record
GGGGAAUUGAACCCCGGUCUCCCGCGUGACAGGCGGGGAUACUAACCACUAUACUAACGAGGAGCUGAUAUCCAACGUUCUCCCAAGUCCCUCUUCAAGGGAAAUGAAGAAGCAACCUGAGUCAGCAAAGACCGCAGAGCAGAGAACUGAGCACCUGCUGUCCAUCUUCCUAAAAUGGAAAGGAAAAGAGGGGGUAGUUAACCUGAACAGGGUAGGUGAGCUCAGAGAUUCCUCCCUGUCAGCACCGGGAGGAAGUAAAGGUUAAAAUCUGACUGGCAGUACAGAAGGCACAGAACUCUCUUUGGAGGUGGAUAAAGAGAAUUUUGUGCAGAGUCAUACAGGUAGGAAGUGGUGAAAGGCCAGGAAUCACCCAAGCCUUGACUGCAAAUCUUGUGCAGGGUUCACUUUGCUGCACAAUUCCACAUACAGGUAUAUUAACAAAUAAAUAUGUAUGGAGAGACAAACUUUGUUACUAGUAUCAACAUAUGUGUCACACUUGUUCCUGUACGUAUUAACGUUUACUCUAAUUACUUAGCAGGCACUGUAGUUACUUAUUCACUGUUGAACCUACAAUAUGCCAGACAUUGUUUUAGAUGCAUGGAGAGGUUUAAAGGUGUAAAUCUUGUUCUCAUGGCACUUAUAUCCUAGCAGAAGGAAGAUAUAAGUAAACAAGGAAUAUAAUAAAUAUGUUAGAUGGUGACAAGAGUGGAAAUAGAAAAAGACAGCAUGGUAAAGGAGAGUGGUAAGUUAAACAGAAUGGUCCGAGGGCCUCGUUUUUAAGAAGGUAACAUUUGAACAGACUCGAAAGAAGUAAGGGAUGUAGUCAGAUAGCUACCUGGGGGGCACAUGGGGCCUUAGAAGUCAUUGUAAAGACUUUGCCUUUUAUUUUGAGGGGAAAUGGGGAGCUACUAUAGGGUUUAGGACAGAGAAGAGACACAGUCUGAUUUACAUUUUAAAGGGUUUUUGGCUACUGGGUUGAGAGGAGGCUGUAGGGGGGCAGGAGCAGAAGCAGGGAGACCAAAGAGGUCUGCUGCAAUAAUCCACAUGGGAGAUGAUGGUAGUUGAGGCUAGAGUGGGAGUGGUGGAGAAUGUGAGACGUGCUGAUUUAUUCUGAAGGUAGAGCCAAUAGAAUUUCCUAAUAGAGUAAAUCUGAGAUGUGAAAGUAAAAGAGGAAUCAAAGAUGCUUCCAAAAUUUUUGGCGUGAACAACUGGAAGAAUAGUGUUGCCAUCAACUGAGGUGAAGAAGAAGAAUGCACAACUUCAGAGGGCACCGUCCAUAUUGAUAGUCCAUGUGAAGGGCACGCUGGGGAGGAGGCAGGGGACCAUUCACAUAGAUGUUCUGUGGAUGGCAUUCCUUCGAAUUGUGCAACAUGGCAUCUCUGCAUGUGGAAUAGUAUUUGGAGGGCUAAUAAGCAUUUCAGUUUUGGAUGUGUGAAGGUUGAGACAUUGAGUAGGCAGUUGCAUAUACUCAUUGUAUAGGCCAAGCACAGUGCUGGGUGCUGGACAUAGAGUGAUGAACAAAGAACCUGACCUCAGGGAGCUUUCAUUUUAGUGGAGGAGACACAUAUCACUAAUCAAAGAAUAACAACAACAACAACAAAGUAAAAUUACAACUGUGACAGUUACUAAGAAGAAGAUGUGGAGGGAAGAGCUUUUUCAGUAGAUGGAACCGGAUGUGCAAAGGUUAUUGGAACUGAGAGAAUGUGGUGAGCAGAGGGGUUGACAGAAGGCUGAAGUGGCUAGGGCGAGUGAGGAAGAUCAUGGGAGAGAUGAGGCUGAAAGGCCAAUGGGAGUAGGACGAUGCAGGGUCUCUCAGGCUGUGUUAAGAACCCCCCAUUUUUUGGCCUGUUGUUCACUACUUUUCCUUUCUAUCUUUAGGGUUUACAUACAGUAAAAUUCACUCUUUUUCGGGUGUACUGUUCUAUGAGUUUUUACCAUAAUCAAGUUGUAGAUUAUUUCCAUCACCCCAUCACUUCCAUCACAGAGUUCCCUUUAGCCCCUCUGCAGUCAUUCCCCUCCCUCCAGCCCCAGGCACCACUGACCUGAUUUCUGUUUCCAGAGUGUCAUAUUAAUGCAGCCGUACAGUUUGUAGCUUUUUGCAUAUGCCUUCUUUCCCUUAGUAUUAUGCUUUUGAGAGUCAUCCACGUUGUUGUGUGUUUCGGUAGCUUUUCUUUUUUAAUUUCUGAUUAGUUUUCUAUUGUAUGGAUGUUUGUUUGUUUAUCCACUCACUAGUUGACGGACAUUUGGGUUGUUUCCAGUUUUUGACUAUUAUAAAUAUAGCUAUUGUAAACAUCAGUGUACAGGCUUUUGUAUGGACGUGUAUGUUCAUUUCUCUUGGGUCAAUACCUAGGAGUGGGACUGCUGAGUCUUAGGGUAAGUGUAUGUUUAUCUUUAUAAGAAGCUGCCAAACUGUUUUCCUAACUGGCUGUAACAUUUUGCAUUCCCACCAAACAAUAUAUGAGAGUUCUUCUUGUUCCGCAUCUUUGCUAGCACUUGGUACUUCAAAUAUAUUUUUAUUUGAGCCAUUCCAAUAGGUGUGUAGUGGGAUCUCACAGUUUUUGUAAUAUGCCAUUCCCUAAUGAUUAAUGAUGUUGAGCAUAUUUUCAUGGAUUUAUUUAAGCCUCCAAAU